UAUCACCUUACUAAUGUAAGGAGCUAACGCAGGGAACUGAAACAUCUUAGUACCUGCAGGAAAAGAAAAUAACAAUGAUUCCCCCAGUAGUGGCGAGCGAACGGGGAAGAGCCCAAACCAACAGUGUCACGGCAUUGUUGGGGUUGUAGGACCACGACGUUGCAAGAAAUUUCGUGAGAAGAACGGUCUGGAAAGGCCGGCCACAGCGGGUGACAGCCCCGUAUUCGAAGCGAGACGAAGCAUAGUGUAAUCCUGAGUAGCGCGGGACACGAGGAAUCCUGC
This 282-nucleotide ribosomal RNA is filed under the name Bacteroides caecigallinarum. RNAcentral's name for it is "partial 23S ribosomal RNA". It matches the Rfam family "Bacterial large subunit ribosomal RNA", at positions 146 to 437 of the family's 2925-position model. Lineage: Bacteria; Pseudomonadati; Bacteroidota; Bacteroidia; Bacteroidales; Bacteroidaceae. The record is from RNAcentral.